Long non-coding RNA from Nothoprocta perdicaria, 274 nucleotides. RefSeq lists it as uncharacterized. The record is from RefSeq and is a predicted model, not a curated record. The transcript is spliced from 3 exons. Lineage: Eukaryota; Metazoa; Chordata; Aves; Tinamiformes; Tinamidae.
GAGCAAAAGCGGCGUGUGCUCGUGGAGAGUCCGGUGAGCCGAGAGCCAGGGAAGAGGUGCUGCUGGAACUGCUCCCGUUUCCCGAAGGAACAACGCAGGUCUGGAGGUGAGCAGCGGAGCUCAAUUAAUUAUGCUUUGUGAAGUGCUUCUGAUCCUCUGAUGGAAACAUCUCCGGAGCCUUCCUGCUCACCCCUUGCAUGCGGGAAGAGCUCCGCAGCUGCAAGGGAAUGAAUGGGCAGGAAGAUUCACCUACAUCUCGCGUCGACUUGACUUG